This 102-nucleotide microRNA precursor is filed under the name Marmota monax (woodchuck). Lineage: Eukaryota; Metazoa; Chordata; Mammalia; Rodentia; Sciuridae. The record is from RNAcentral.
AGUGGGAUAGCUGGGUCAAAUGGUGGUUCCACUCCAGGUUUCUGAGGAAUCUCCAUAUGGCUUUCCAAACUGGUUGCACCAAUUUGCAGUCCCACCAGCAAU